AUAUUAUUUUAUUACAAGAAUAUUAAAUGAAUAAUAUAUUUCUAGACAUUUUCUCAAUAGUUGUUAUCAGCAUAUUAAAGACAAUAGUAAACCCUGAAAUACAUAAUAUACAAAAUAAAGAGUACCCACUAUUUGUGCAUCCAUUGACAAUAUUGAUAUCAAUCAUUAUUAUUAGUAAUUCAAUCAGAAACUAUUAGUUUUAUGAUUUAUGAUAAUCGCAUUUUAGAUUAAAUCAUUAAUCUAAUUUUAUGUUAACACUUAACAACAUAGUUAAAUAUGUGAUAACCUAGUUGGCUAGGUACCUAAAAUAUCCUAAUAUAAUAGCGCAUUGAAGAAACAUAAAUCAAUUGGAAAAUAUAUGUUGAUACUGUGAAAGUGCUGUGAAUGUUUUGAGUAGAUCAUAAAAACGACACAAAUAAUAUUCAGAUGAAAGAUGGUUGUGCCCGAAAUGUGGCCGCAAUUACAAACGCAAAGCCCAUUUAAGUUUUCACUUGGCCAAAGAGUGUGGGGUUGGCCCUCAAUAUAAUUGCUCGAAAUGUUUCAAAUUUUUCAAGCGUAGUAGUCAUUUGAAGAGUCACCAACUAUCGUGCGGUGAUGUUUCACCAAAAUUUCAAUGUGACAUUUGUAAAAAGAAAUUCACACGCAAGGACAACAUGAAAACUCACAAAAA
Molecule: long non-coding RNA, 670 nt
Organism: Acyrthosiphon pisum (pea aphid)
Lineage: Eukaryota; Metazoa; Arthropoda; Insecta; Hemiptera; Aphididae
Exons: 2
Source: RefSeq, a predicted model, not a curated record